AAGUCGUAACAAGGUUUCUGUAGGUGAACCUGCAGAAGGAUCAUUAGUGAAUAUUAGGACGUCCUUUACCGGAGUCCGAACCACACUUUUAAACACCACACCGUGAACUAGUGAACCAUUUUAAACAACAAAGAAAUUAGAAAGUACCACUGCGCAUGCAGUAACAAACCAUAUAAAACUUUCAACAACGGAUGUCUUGGCUCUC
This 205-nucleotide unclassified non-coding RNA is filed under the name fungal sp. Its description in RNAcentral is "partial internal transcribed spacer region". The stretch from base 1 to 46 matches the Rfam family "Eukaryotic small subunit ribosomal RNA", at positions 1786 to 1831 of the family's 1831-position model. The record is from RNAcentral. Lineage: Eukaryota; Fungi.